GAUGAACGCUGGCGGCGUGCCUAAUACAUGCAAGUCGAGCGAACAGACGAGGAGCUUGCUCCUCUGACGUUAGCGGCGGACGGGUGAGUAACACGUGGAUAACCUACCUAUAAGACUUGGAUAACUUCGGGAAACCGGAGCUACUACCGGAUAAUAUAUUGAACCGCAUGGUUCAAUAGUGAAAUACGGUUUUGCUGUCACUUAUAGAUGGCUCCGCGCCGCAUUAGCUAGUUGGUAAGGUAACGGCUUACCAAGGCGACGAUGCGUAGCCGACCUGACAGGGUGUACGGCGCCACUGGAACUGAGCCACGGUCCAGAGUCCGAGGGGAGGCACAAGUAGGGACUGUUCGGAACUGGGCGAAAGCCUGAAGGAGCAACGCAGCGUGAGUGAUGAAGGGCUUCGGAUCGGAAAACUCUGUUAUUAGGGAAGACCAAUUGUGCAAGUAACUAUGCACGUCUUGACGGUACCUAAUCAGAAAGCAACGGCUAACUACGUG
This 497-nucleotide ribosomal RNA is filed under the name uncultured bacterium. RNAcentral describes it as "partial 16S ribosomal RNA". It matches the Rfam family "Bacterial small subunit ribosomal RNA", at positions 28 to 507 of the family's 1533-position model. The record is from RNAcentral.